RNAcentral lists this long non-coding RNA (690 nucleotides) under Androctonus crassicauda. Lineage: Eukaryota; Metazoa; Arthropoda; Arachnida; Scorpiones; Buthidae. The record is from RNAcentral.
CCGAUAACAAAAUUAUGUUGAUUGAUUGAUUAUAUUAUGAAAUGCAAUCAAUUAAUCAAAGAAAAUUCUUUCCAUGUAGUCUAAUUUACGAUAAAUUUACAUAAAAUGUUCUAGUAAACAUCGAUUGAUUUUAAAGUAACCAACCGUAAUACGAUAUACAUAUAAAGGAAGAUGAUUUGAAUACAUUAUGCAAAUAUUUAUCGGGCAAAUGUUAAAAUGUUUAUUUUAAUGUUUAACGAGGACGAAUAUGUGAUCGACUUUGACCUUAUAUUACCUACAUAUCUUCUGCUAACUAGUGUGUGAAGCUCAAGAAUACUUCAUGUCACCCGUUAUCUAGAAAAGCUUCGAUUGACGUUAGCCAUUACUUAACUGCAUCUGUAGUGGAGGAGGGGCUACCAAACCAGCGUUGUUCGUAUAAAUCAUUUUGGUAACAUGUUAUGGGAUGACAGAUGACAGGCUUUUCACUGACCCCGCUCACUGCUGGGUGUCAGAACCGCAUAAAGAAACGAAAAAGAGAACUGAAAAAUUACCACCCUCUUUGUUUGCAUCGCUGACAUCACAGUUGUUGAUAAUCUUAAUGAAAAUGAUAUAUGUCGAAAAGAUCAUAUCGGUAUGUGUUGUUAAUGUAAACUAUAACGUUUUGAUCGUUUCGAAUGUUUUUUAAUGUUCUUUUUUUUUAUACGAGAGAAU